GACGUAGGGGACAAGCGUUGUUCGGAAUUACUGGGCGUAAAGGGCAUGUAGGCGGCCUUGUAAGCUUGGCGUGAAAGUCAUCGGCUUAACCGAUGGAUUGCGUCGAGAACUGCAGGGCUUGAAUCACGGAGAGGGAGCUAGAAUUCCUGGUGUAGGGGUGAAAUCUGUAGAGAUCAGGAAGAAUACCAAUGGCGAAGGCAAGCUCCUGGCCGAUGAUUGACGCUGAGGUGCGAAAGUGUGGGGAUCAAACAGG
This 253-nucleotide ribosomal RNA is filed under the name uncultured bacterium. RNAcentral's name for it is "partial 16S ribosomal RNA". It matches the Rfam family "Bacterial small subunit ribosomal RNA", at positions 524 to 776 of the family's 1533-position model. The record is from RNAcentral.